UACGAAGGGGGCUAGCGUUAUUCGGAAUUACUGGGCGUAAAGGGCGUGUAGGUGGUUUAGAAAGUUAAAAGUGAAAGCUCAGGGCUUAACCUUGGAACUGCUUUUAAAACUUCUAGACUAGAGGGCGAUAGGGGGCAAUGGAAUUCCUAGUGUAGAGGUGAAAUUCUUAGAUAUUAGGAGGAACACCAGAGGCGAAGGCGAUUGCCUGGGUCGCACCUGACACUGAGACGCGAAAGCGUGGGGAGCAAACAGG
RNAcentral lists this ribosomal RNA (253 nucleotides) under uncultured bacterium. RNAcentral describes it as "partial 16S ribosomal RNA". It matches the Rfam family "Bacterial small subunit ribosomal RNA", at positions 524 to 776 of the family's 1533-position model. The record is from RNAcentral.